Nyctereutes procyonoides (raccoon dog) is the source of this 1982-nucleotide long non-coding RNA. RefSeq lists it as uncharacterized. The record is from RefSeq and is a predicted model, not a curated record. NCBI's taxonomy places the organism in Eukaryota, Metazoa, Chordata, Mammalia, Carnivora, Canidae. The transcript is spliced from 2 exons.
GCACGUUAGCCCGAGGACGCCCUGAGCCGUCACCGCCCCGGGGCCGGGGGGCGCACCCAGGUCCUGGGGGGCCGGGCCAGGGGCCUGCUGCGGGCCGCCCGCCCUGCAACCACGGCCGCACCGCACCAGCGCCCCAAACACAGACCGCGGCUCCCCGCCGUCGAGAGCGCUGGCCAGGCCGAGGCCCAGGAGGGGUGCACACCCUCGCCCCGCCCCUGCAGGUGCCCAGAGGACGCAGAGAGGAAAACCAAUGCCCCAGAGCGACACGGCCCACAAGAGCAGGACCCCGGAAAGCUGAGGUCACCCAGGGCCCCGGGGCGGGAGGGGUGGCCACCUCUGUCCCCACAGCUCUGCGCCGCCCACUGAGCCACCCAGAAGCAGGGACCCUCACCGCCGUCGCCCCAAGCCGUGCCCCACGGCCCCCAAGUCCACUCUGCUGGUCAGACCCCAGCCACGGACAACUCACCACGGAAAUGACCCCAAGCACAGCAGCCCCCGGGCUCCCCUGGGUGGAGCUGGUCCUCACACCCCCGUAAACGUGCGGAACAGCAAGUGUUUCCCUCUUUUUCUUUAGCAAGACCACCCACAAGACGUGCUGCGAGCGCCGUCCUCCCACCGUGCGCACCGAGAGCUCUGGGCCCCAAGGCCCGGUCCCUACGGGGACACUCGCAGGACGUGCACCCCUACUCAGGCCAUCACGGCGCCAGCAGCCGGCCGUGUGCACUUUGCCACAGCUCCCAGCGACGCCACGGCCUGGAGCCCGGCCACCUGCUCGCCCCGUGGAUGCCCACCCGAUGCCACAUCCCCGCCAGCAUCGCACAGAAGUCCCCGUCCUGUCCACAGAAGUCAAGCAUCUUCUUACACUUAGGAGCUUCUCACACGUUUGGUCGCGUGUGUGCGGGGCGUGCGGUUCGGGGACUGGGGGCGGGAGGGGGUGCAGCCCUGGGGGAGAUGGUAAAACCCGAGCUCGGCGGGACCACCCGGGAGGCCCAGGACAGCAGGUGGGAGCCACGCACACCCCCGCACGCCCCCCACGCCCACGAACAUGACCUGGUCAGCAGCCUAACGUCUGCGGAGAAUCUUUUCCACAAACACGUUUUAAAAACAUGAAUUGGCGGGACCCCCUGGGGGCUCAGCGGUCAAGGGUCUGCCUUCAGCUCGGGCGUGACCCCGGGUCCCGGGAUCGGGUCCCACAUCGGGCUCCCCACAGGGAGCCUGCUUCUCCCUCGGCCUGCGUCUCUCAGGAAUGAAUGAAUAAAAUCCUUAUAAAAGACCACAGGAUUGGGACUACAACGUACAGUUUCAGAGGACAGCUUCCACUUAACACGUGGAUGCACGCGGCCAUCUGUCCGUGCAACCCCUUCCUGCCACGUGGAGACGCUGCUGUCGAACACCCACGCGGCUUCCGUGGGCCGGGCCUAUGGACCACGACUCGGUGGGGUCCCUACAGGAGUGUGCACGCGUCCGAUCGCCUCCGGAGCGAACACUGCGUGGCUGUCCCAGCUGCCACGCUUCCUGCGGAGCCACGCUGGGUGUGACGGGACACCGACGCCGGUCCUCGCCGGCACGCACGGCCCACGGCUGGGGACAAGAGGGAGACUCUGGGCUGUGCGUGCAGAGCCAGGGAGUGGCCACCCUUCCCGAGGGAGCAGCUCAGCCUGUGGUCCCCGGGGCGGGGGGGGGGGGGUCCGGCGUCCCUACGGCAGGACAGGGGACAGGGAAAGCCGCACACCUGGCCCGCGCCCUCCGCCGUCCCUCGGCCCCGACACACUUGCCGCCGUGGCAGCUUUCCGAGGCACGGCGAUCCCGCUUUUCCACUAUCACCGAAUAAAGCAAAGGCGCCACCCACUCCGGGAUGGAGAGGGGGAAGAGAGGAAAUGAACUUUUAUGUUAUUUUAUUUAAAACAACCUUUUUUUUUUGAGAACGUAUUUAUUCAUGGCUUCUAUUCUGCUUCCAUAAACACGAAAGUUAAAGUGCUGAA